This 90-nucleotide non-coding RNA is filed under the name Pediococcus acidilactici. RNAcentral's name for it is "TPP sequence". It matches the Rfam family "TPP riboswitch aptamer (THI element)". Rfam says of the family: Vitamin B(1) in its active form thiamin pyrophosphate (TPP) is an essential coenzyme that is synthesised by coupling of pyrimidine and thiazole moieties in bacteria. The previously detected thiamin-regulatory element, thi box was extended, resulting in a new, highly conserved RNA secondary structure, the THI element, which is widely distributed in eubacteria and also occurs in some archaea. RNAcentral also lists the same sequence under 1 other name. The record is from RNAcentral. Lineage: Bacteria; Bacillati; Bacillota; Bacilli; Lactobacillales; Lactobacillaceae.
CUAACAUUGCUGGGGUGCCACGCGGCUGAGAUUAUACCCAUUGAACCUGAUCUAAUUAGGAUUAGCGCAGGGAGCAGUGCAUUAGCCAAG